Molecule: ribosomal RNA, 217 nt
Filed under: uncultured bacterium
Lineage: Bacteria
Description: partial 16S ribosomal RNA
Rfam family: Bacterial small subunit ribosomal RNA
Source: RNAcentral
UACAUCGGAACGUGCCCAAUCGUGGGGGAUAACGUAGCGAAAGCUACGCUAAUACCGCAUACGAUCUACAGAUGAAAGCGGGGGAUCGCAAGACCUCGCGCGAAUGGAGCGGCCGAUGGCAGAUUAGGUAGUUGGUGGGGUAAAGGCUCACCAAGCCUGCGAUCUGUAGCUGGUCUGAGAGGACGACCAGCCACACUGGGACUGAGACACGGCCCAG